This 69-nucleotide transfer RNA is filed under the name Heterocephalus glaber (naked mole-rat). It matches the Rfam family "tRNA". Rfam says of the family: Transfer RNA (tRNA) molecules are approximately 80 nucleotides in length. Their secondary structure includes four short double-helical elements and three loops (D, anti-codon, and T loops). Further hydrogen bonds mediate the characteristic L-shaped molecular structure. tRNAs have two regions of fundamental functional importance: the anti-codon, which is responsible for specific mRNA codon recognition, and the 3' end, to which the tRNAs corresponding amino acid is attached (by aminoacyl-tRNA synthetases). tRNAs cope with the degeneracy of the genetic code in two manners: having more than one tRNA (with a specific anti-codon) for a particular amino acid; and 'wobble' base-pairing, i.e. permitting non-standard base-pairing at the 3rd anti-codon position. The record is from Rfam by way of RNAcentral. Lineage: Eukaryota; Metazoa; Chordata; Mammalia; Rodentia; Bathyergidae.
GGGGAUGUAACUCAGUGGUACAGUGCUUGCCUAGCAUGCACAAGGGCCUGGGUUCAAUACCCAGCACCA